UUUCCGUAGGUGAACCUGCGGAAGGAUCAUUCAUAAUAAAGUGUUUUAUGGCACUUUUUAAAAAUCCAUAUCCACCUUGUGUGCAAUGUUAGAUCUCGUCAAUCUUGGCGAGAUUUUUAUACAUCAACUCAUUCUUUAACUAAUUUGUCUGAAAAAUAUUAUGAAUACUUAAUUCAAAAUACAACUCUCAACAACGGAUCUCUUGGCUCUCGCAUCGAUGAAGAACGAGC
RNAcentral lists this unclassified non-coding RNA (230 nucleotides) under plant metagenome. RNAcentral describes it as "partial contains small subunit ribosomal RNA, internal transcribed spacer 1, and 5.8S ribosomal RNA". The stretch from base 183 to 230 matches the Rfam family "5.8S ribosomal RNA", at positions 1 to 49 of the family's 154-position model. The record is from RNAcentral.